Molecule: ribosomal RNA, 253 nt
Filed under: uncultured bacterium
Lineage: Bacteria
Description: partial 16S ribosomal RNA
Rfam family: Bacterial small subunit ribosomal RNA
Source: RNAcentral
UACAGAGGGUGCAAGCGUUGUUCGGAAUUAUUGGGCGUAAAGCGCGUGUAGGCGGCUUUGCAAGUCGGGUGUGAAAGCCCUCAGCUCAACUGAGGAGGUGCGCCCGAAACUGCAGAGCUUGAGUGCCGGAGAGGGUGGCGGAAUUCCCCAAGUAGAGGUGAAAUUCGUAGAUAUGGGGAGGAACACCGGUGGCGAAGGCGGCCACCUGGACGGUAACUGACGCUGAGACGCGAAAGCGUGGGGAGCAAACAGG